RNAcentral lists this long non-coding RNA (702 nucleotides) under Anser brachyrhynchus (Pink-footed goose). Its description in RNAcentral is "lncRNA (ENSABRG00000004592.1)". The record is from RNAcentral. Lineage: Eukaryota; Metazoa; Chordata; Aves; Anseriformes; Anatidae.
CAGGCUUCCUGUUCCUUAAGUGGAGUCCUAUUAAGAAUCACUUUCCUCUUUUCAAGUUUGUCUACACUUGCGGAAAGUAUAGCUCAGAAGUGGGAUUUGCAAAUAUGGGAAAUAAAGAAUAGGGAUGUUAAAUUUUGCUAUUGUUCAAAUUUAUAGCUUAUAAAGUAAUAACAAAGUGUCAGGCAAGUAAGAGGUCUCAGUGUGGGAGAUUGCAGACUUUUUUGCAGACUUGAGAAAAUCAUCAGUUCUGGAUUGAAAGGUACUUUAGCAAUAAAGUCUGAACAUUUAUAGCUUUGUUCUGCUAUAUGAAUUACAAGGGUUACAAUUUAGUUAUUUAUUUUGCACAAUAUAAAGAAACUUAGUGUAAAGAAUGUGUGUGAAAGAUAAUAAAGGAUUUCUGAUGGAGGGUUUUCCCACAGGUGGUUAUGAUGAAGAGAUGCCAGGACCUGCUUCUAAAUUGCUGGGUGGAUAAAAACUCUGGAAGGACUUGAAACUGCUGAUAGAUGAACGCAGGAAGGUGAAAUAAUUGUGAACAAAAUGGGAUGCCUGGUACAUAUGGAACAAGGAGUUUUUGAGUUACAGGUGAAGACAGUAAAUAUUGAAACCCUAGCUUAUAACACUGCUUAUUCUCAUUUUAUAACACUGAUUUUUUAAAACCCAGUCUGAAAUAAAGAUUAUGUAAAAUAAGUAGUUAAUUUGCUU